RNAcentral lists this ribosomal RNA (301 nucleotides) under uncultured bacterium. RNAcentral's name for it is "partial 16S ribosomal RNA". It matches the Rfam family "Bacterial small subunit ribosomal RNA", at positions 509 to 808 of the family's 1533-position model. The record is from RNAcentral.
CAGCAGCCACGGGAAUACGUAGGUGGCAAGCGUUGUCCGGAAUUAUUGGGCGUAAAGGGCUCGCAGGCGGUUUCUUAAGUCUGAUGUGAAAGCCCCCGGCUCAACCGGGGAGGGUCAUUGGAAACUGGGAACUUGAGUGCAGAAGAGGAGAGUGGAAUUCCACGUGUAGCGGUGAAAUGCGUAGAGAUGUGGAGGAACACCAGUGGCGAAGGCGACUCUCUGGUCUGUAACUGACGCUGAGGAGCGAAAGCGUGGGGAGCGAACAGGAUUAGAUACCCGCGUAGUCCCUGUCUCUUAUACA